This 277-nucleotide long non-coding RNA is filed under the name Bos indicus x Bos taurus (hybrid cattle). RNAcentral describes it as "lncRNA (ENSBIXG00000002703.1)". The record is from RNAcentral. Lineage: Eukaryota; Metazoa; Chordata; Mammalia; Artiodactyla; Bovidae.
GCAUCUUGGCUAAUAGCCUUUUACUCUCCGCUGGCAGGGGAUGGAGAAAAGCUGCUGUGGAAACUCAUUCAGCAGCUUGGCCCUGGGGCAUGGAUGGAUGGCCUCUGUGCUCACAGGAAGCAGCCAGGGCUCAGCAGGCAUUGUUCUAGGAAAUACAGCAGAAAUACAGAAUACCAGAAAUGCAGCAGUGAAGAAAGCCAAAAUUUGUGUCCCCUUGGAGUUUAUAGUUCAUGAGGAACUAAAAUAUGAACCAGCCAGAAAGAAGAGAUUUGGUUGA